Molecule: ribosomal RNA, 646 nt
Filed under: Salmonella enterica
Lineage: Bacteria; Pseudomonadati; Pseudomonadota; Gammaproteobacteria; Enterobacterales; Enterobacteriaceae
Description: bacterial SSU rRNA
Rfam family: Bacterial small subunit ribosomal RNA
Source: RNAcentral
GGGAGUACGGCCGCAAGGUUAAAACUCAAAUGAAUUGACGGGGGCCCGCACAAGCGGUGGAGCAUGUGGUUUAAUUCGAUGCAACGCGAAGAACCUUACCUGGUCUUGACAUCCACAGAAGAAUCCAGAGAUGGAUUUGUGCCUUCGGGAACUGUGAGACAGGUGCUGCAUGGCUGUCGUCAGCUCGUGUUGUGAAAUGUUGGGUUAAGUCCCGCAACGAGCGCAACCCUUAUCCUUUGUUGCCAGCGGUUAGGCCGGGAACUCAAAGGAGACUGCCAGUGAUAAACUGGAGGAAGGUGGGGAUGACGUCAAGUCAUCAUGGCCCUUACGACCAGGGCUACACACGUGCUACAAUGGCGCAUACAAAGAGAAGCGACCUCGCGAGAGCAAGCGGACCUCAUAAAGUGCGUCGUAGUCCGGAUUGGAGUCUGCAACUCGACUCCAUGAAGUCGGAAUCGCUAGUAAUCGUGGAUCAGAAUGCCACGGUGAAUACGUUCCCGGGCCUUGUACACACCGCCCGUCACACCAUGGGAGUGGGUUGCAAAAGAAGUAGGUAGCUUAACCUUCGGGAGGGCGCUUACCACUUUGUGAUUCAUGACUGGGGUGAAGUCGUAACAAGGUAACCGUAGGGGAACCUGCGGUUGGA